GACGAACGCUGGCGGCGUGCUUAACACAUGCAAGUCGAACGGAAAGGCCCUGCUUUUGUGGGGUGCUCGAGUGGCGAACGGGUGAGUAACGCGUGAGUAACCUGCCCUUGACUUUGGGAUAACUUCAGGAAACUGGGGCUAAUACCGGAUAGGAGCUCCUGCUGCAUGGUGGGGGUUGGAAAGUUUCGGCGGUUGGGGAUGGACUCGCGGCUUAUCAGCUUGUUGGUGGGGUAGUGGCUUACCAAGGCUUUGACGGGUAGCCGGCCUGAGAGGGUGACCGGCCACAUUGGGCCUGAGAUACGGCCCAGACUCCUACGGGAGGCAGCAGUGGGGAAUAUUGCACAAUGGGCGGAAGCCUGAUGCAGCAACGCCGCGUGCGGGAUGACGGCCUUCGGGUUGUAAACCGCUUUCGCCUGUGACGAAGCGUGAGUGACGGUAAUGGGUAAAGAAGCACCGGCUAACUACGUG
RNAcentral lists this ribosomal RNA (468 nucleotides) under uncultured bacterium. RNAcentral's name for it is "partial 16S ribosomal RNA". It matches the Rfam family "Bacterial small subunit ribosomal RNA", at positions 28 to 507 of the family's 1533-position model. The record is from RNAcentral.